AUUGCAAAUCGUUCUAUCGCUUCAUUUUAUUAUGAAGAGGAAAGUCCGGGCAGCACAGAGAAUCCGACCUAGUGAAAGCUAGGGUGCUCUAAAAGAGAUUGAAGAGUAACAGCUAGUGCAACAGAAAUAAACUACCGUAUUUAUACGGAAAAGCUGAAAAGGUGAGGUAAGAGCUCACCAGUUACAAAAGCAAUUUUGUAAGCUAGGUAAACCUUCGGUGCUGAAAAAUCAAAUAAACCAAGUGUUGAGGGUUUCUCGCCCAACUUGGAGGGUAGAUUGUUAAUGGAUAAAGGUAACUUUAUUCUUAGAUAAAUGAUAGAACUCGACAGAAUCUGGCUUAUAGAUUUGUAUUUUAA
RNAcentral lists this RNase P RNA (356 nucleotides) under Flavobacteriales bacterium. Its description in RNAcentral is "RNase P RNA component class A". It matches the Rfam family "Bacterial RNase P class A". Rfam says of the family: Ribonuclease P (RNase P) is a ubiquitous endoribonuclease, found in archaea, bacteria and eukarya as well as chloroplasts and mitochondria. Its best characterised activity is the generation of mature 5'-ends of tRNAs by cleaving the 5'-leader elements of precursor-tRNAs. Cellular RNase Ps are ribonucleoproteins. The record is from RNAcentral. Lineage: Bacteria; Pseudomonadati; Bacteroidota; Flavobacteriia; Flavobacteriales.